RNAcentral lists this long non-coding RNA (220 nucleotides) under Trifolium pratense (red clover). RNAcentral's name for it is "long non-coding RNA (TPRA_LNC013849)". The record is from RNAcentral. Lineage: Eukaryota; Viridiplantae; Streptophyta; Magnoliopsida; Fabales; Fabaceae.
UGAUAAUGCAACUAGAGGGACAUGAGUGUGACCUCAGGUAACAGAUGGAGGCUAAGGAGAAGGAGUUGAGACAACAAAAUCUCAGUUCAACAAAGUCCCAACAUAGCUCUUCAACUCAUAUGAUAGGUCCUCGACACCUAGCUCUUCAACUUAGAUGAGAGGACUCGAGUACCUCAACAGUGCGAAUUCACACUGUCGGUUCAAUAAAAAUCUGCACCUA